Non-coding RNA from Bactrocera oleae (olive fruit fly), 279 nucleotides. Lineage: Eukaryota; Metazoa; Arthropoda; Insecta; Diptera; Tephritidae. The record is from RefSeq and is a predicted model, not a curated record.
AAUAAAACUACCAAAACAAUGCCACCAUAUAAACGAACGAAACGAAGCAACGUAACGAGGUAAACAUUGAAAGGAAUAGAAAAAUACAAAAGCAUGCCACAAACGGCAAUGCAACAGUGAAUUGUGAAUACAGUGACAAGUGAGGGGAAUUCGACAGGUCGAGCAACGAAGGACCUUUUUCUUGGUUUUUUGAUUUUCGUGUUGCAUGCUACAAAUUCAGUUGCUUGGGCUCUCGACAAUGCCUGGAAUAUCGCCCUUAAAUAACUUACUCUUCUAUAC